Molecule: ribosomal RNA, 500 nt
Filed under: uncultured bacterium
Lineage: Bacteria
Description: partial 16S ribosomal RNA
Rfam family: Bacterial small subunit ribosomal RNA
Source: RNAcentral
AUUGAACGCUGGCGGCAUGCUUUACGCAUGCAAGUCGAACGGUAACAGGGUGCUUGCACCGCUGACGAGUGGCGAACGGGUGAGUAAUGCGUCGGAACGUGCCAAGUAGGGGGGGAUAACGCAGCGAAAGUUGUGCUAAUACCGCAUACGUACUGAGGUAGAAAGUGGGGGACCUUCGGGCCUCACGCUAUUCGAGCGGCCGACGUCUGAUUAGCUAGUAGGUGAGGUAAAGGCUCACCUAGGCGACGAUCAGUAGCGGGGCUGAGAGGAUGGUCCGCCACACUGGGACUGAGACACGGCCCAGACUCCUACGGGAGGCAGCAGUGGGGAAUUUUGGACAAUGGGCGAAAGCCUGAUCCAGCCAUGCCGCGUGUCUGAAGAAGGCCUUCGGGUUGUAAAGGACUUUUGUCAGGGAGGAAAUCCCUAGUGCUAAUAACACUGGGGGAUGACAGUACCUGAAGAAUAAGCACCGGCUAACUACGUGCCAGCCGCCGCCGUAA